AGGCUCGGCGUUGGCCUCCGCGGCCCGUGCGAGUGCGCCCUUCUCGGGUCCCCUAGGUCGCGGGGCAGCCGGGGCGGAAGGGGCUUGUUCAUUAUUUUGAGAGUUUGUUGUGAACGUCAUAACCUUUCGUCCUUAAAUAUUGCCGAUACUUGACCUACGCAAGAGACAAUGUCAUGUGAUUCAGCCUAAUAUCUCAGAGGAUGCAGCAUUCAAGGUUCUAUCUUGGAAGCAGAGACUGUGCCCUCACCAGAUGCUGAACCUGCUGAGCACCCUGAUCUUCCACUUCACCUUCAUCAGAACUGGUGCUAAGAAUUCUGAAUUUAUUGAGGAAAUAAAUGUCUGAUUGCAACAAAAGAAAACUUGUCUGGCUUUGGGAAGGAAGAGGCUUAGGAAAAAAAUUAAAGGCGUCUUUACUAGAAGUUCAAGACUGGGGCUGUGGCUGAGAUGUCACAUGGCAGAUAGGAUCACAAAUUUCUGUUGUAUCUGGAUGGAGAUCAGCAGGAGGAUCUAUGGGUGAGAAGAAGCACAGUUACAGAUGGAUUCUAGAGCCUGCUUGCUGACACAGGCUUGCAACUGCGGACUUUAUAAGCUUAGUUUUUAAUCUGCUAUCAGCUAGCAUAAUACCAUAAAUGCAUAAGAAACUAAGUAUUCAGUCUUACGAGAAAUGCUAUCUUGACCUGACCCUUUCUCCAAAUAAAUUGACAAAA
Molecule: long non-coding RNA, 707 nt
Filed under: Homo sapiens (human)
Lineage: Eukaryota; Metazoa; Chordata; Mammalia; Primates; Hominidae
Description: non-protein coding LINC00882:61
Source: RNAcentral